CACGUAGGGUGCGAGCGUUGUCCGGAAUUAUUGGGCGUAAAGAGCUCGUAGGCGGUGUGUCGCGUCGGCCGUGAAAACCUGCAGCUUAACUGUGGGCUUGCGGUCGAUACGGGCAGGCUAGAGUUCGGUAGGGGAGACUGGAAUUCCUGGUGUAGCGGUGGAAUGCGCAGAUAUCAGGAGGAACACCGGUGGCGAAGGCGGGUCUCUGGGCAGUAACUGACGCUGAGGAGCGAAAGCGUGGGGAGCGAACAGG
Molecule: ribosomal RNA, 253 nt
Filed under: uncultured bacterium
Lineage: Bacteria
Description: partial 16S ribosomal RNA
Rfam family: Bacterial small subunit ribosomal RNA
Source: RNAcentral